GCACAAUGAGGAAUUAUUGCACUGGGCACUGAAAGCCAUGAGUGAUAACGCAUUAAGGUGAGCCUCAGAAACUCACCGUGACUGAGUGG
Molecule: small nucleolar RNA, 89 nt
Filed under: Meyerozyma guilliermondii ATCC 6260
Lineage: Eukaryota; Fungi; Ascomycota; Pichiomycetes; Serinales; Debaryomycetaceae
Source: RNAcentral